GUGACCUAGACCUACCUUCAAGGCAAGUUACGCCUGCAAAGCUUCAAGGUAGCCGGCACCUGACUUUAAGCGCGGUGAAGCAUGACAACACACUGUUCAGUUUUUUGCCUGCCGUACUCAGGUAAAUCUACACUUUACAAUGUAAUAGAC
Non-coding RNA from Caenorhabditis elegans, 150 nucleotides. NCBI's taxonomy places the organism in Eukaryota, Metazoa, Nematoda, Chromadorea, Rhabditida, Rhabditidae. The record is from Ensembl.